This 237-nucleotide ribosomal RNA is filed under the name uncultured bacterium. RNAcentral's name for it is "partial 16S ribosomal RNA". It matches the Rfam family "Bacterial small subunit ribosomal RNA", at positions 118 to 353 of the family's 1533-position model. The record is from RNAcentral.
UGAGCAAUCUGCCCUUCUCUUCGGAAUAAGCGUGGGAAACCGCGUCUAAUGCCGAAUACGACCUCCUUUCGCAUGAUCGGAGGUGGAAAGCUCCGGCGGAGAAGGAUGAGCUCGCGGCCUAUCAGCUAGUUGGUGUGGGUAAUGGCCCACAAGGCGACGACGGGUAGCCGGCCUGAGAGGGUGACCGGCCACACGUGGGACUGAGACACGGCCCAGACCUCCGUACGGGAGGCAGCG